UACGGAGGGGGCUAGCGUUGUUCGGAAUUACUGGGCGUAAAGCGCACGUAGGCGGACUGGAAAGUCAGAGGUGAAAUCCCAGAGCUCAACUCUGGAACUGCCUUUGAUACUGGGUAUCUUGAGUAUGGAAGAGGUGAGUGGAAUUCCGAGUGUAGAGGUGAAAUUCGUAGAUAUUCGGAGGAACACCAGUGGCGAAGGCGACAUACUGGCUCAUUACUGACGCUGAGGCUCGAAAGCGUGGGGAGCAAACAGG
Molecule: ribosomal RNA, 253 nt
Filed under: uncultured bacterium
Lineage: Bacteria
Description: partial 16S ribosomal RNA
Rfam family: Bacterial small subunit ribosomal RNA
Source: RNAcentral